Molecule: ribosomal RNA, 505 nt
Filed under: Triatoma rubida
Lineage: Eukaryota; Metazoa; Arthropoda; Insecta; Hemiptera; Reduviidae
Description: partial 16S ribosomal RNA
Rfam family: Bacterial large subunit ribosomal RNA
Source: RNAcentral
GUCCUUUUGUUUUUAUUUAAGGUCUGACCUGCCCAAUGAGGAAUUCAAUGGCCGCAGUAUUUUAACUGUGCUAAGGUAGCAUAAUCAUUUGUCUUUUAAUUGAGGGCUGGAAUGAAAGGUUGGACGAGGUAUUAGCUUUCUUUAAUUUAGUUUUAUGAAUUUAAUUUUUGAGUUAAAAAGCUUAAAUUUAUUUGUUGGACGAGAAGACCCUAUAGAUCUUUAUAAUUUUAUAUUCUAAUAAUUUAGGGAUUAUCUUAUUUAGAGUAAAAGAAUUAUUUUGUUGGGGUGACUGUAGAAUUUUUUAAACUUCUAUUUAUUGUUAUCAUUUAUUUAUGUUUAUUUGAUCCAUAAUUUAUGAUUAGAAGAUUAAGUUACCUUAGGGAUAACAGCGUAAUUUCUUCGGAGAGUUCAUAUUGAUGAAGAAGUUUGCGACCUCGAUGUUGGAUUAAAAUGAGUAGUGGAUGCAGGAGUUUACUUACUAGGUCUGUUCGACCUUUAAAUUUUC